Molecule: unclassified non-coding RNA, 334 nt
Filed under: soil metagenome
Description: partial contains 5.8S ribosomal RNA, internal transcribed spacer 2, and large subunit ribosomal RNA
Rfam family: 5.8S ribosomal RNA (bases 1-120)
Source: RNAcentral
GAUGAAGAACGUAGCGAAAUGCGAUAAGUAAUGUGAAUUGCAGAAUUCAGUGAAUCAUCGAAUCUUUGAACGCACAUUGCGCCCGCCAGUAUUCUGGCGGGCAUGCCUGUUCGAGCGUCAUUUCAACCAUCAAGCCCCCGGCUUGUGUUGGGGACCUGCGGCUGCCGCAGGCCCUGAAAACCAGUGGCGGGCUCGCUAGUCACUCCGAGCGUAGUAAUACAUCUCGCUCAGGGCGUGCUGCGGGUUCCGGCCGUUAAAAAGCCUUAUUUACCCAAGGUUGACCUCGGAUCAGGUAGGAAGACCCGCUGAACUUAAGCAUAUCAUAAGCGGAGGA